UACGGAGGGUGCAAGCGUUGUUCGGAAUCAUUGGGCGUAAAGCGCGUGUAGGCGGCUUGGUAAGUCGGGUGUGAAAUCCCGGGGCCCAACCCCGGAACUGCAUUCGAAACUGCCUCGCUAGAGUCCCGGAGAGGAAGGCGGAAUUCCCGGUGUAGAGGUGAAAUGCGUAGAUAUCUGGAGGAACACCGGUGGCGAAGGCGGCAUCCUGGACCGGCAUUGACGCUGAGGCGCGAAAGCUAGGGGAGCAAACGGG
Molecule: ribosomal RNA, 253 nt
Filed under: uncultured bacterium
Lineage: Bacteria
Description: partial 16S ribosomal RNA
Rfam family: Bacterial small subunit ribosomal RNA
Source: RNAcentral